This 1809-nucleotide long non-coding RNA is filed under the name Homo sapiens (human). RNAcentral describes it as "HSALNT0170397". Lineage: Eukaryota; Metazoa; Chordata; Mammalia; Primates; Hominidae. The record is from RNAcentral.
AGGGCUCACUGCCUUCCUGAAUUCUGUGUUCCUUAACUGACUCCCAGAGCCCGCCCCACAUCUACAGGAAAAGCCCUGGCGCUUCCCCCGUCCGCAUCCUGGUUUGUGAAGUCCCUCCCGAGUGCCACCGAGGCUUCUAGCCGAGGUCUGAGCCACCUCCCUUAAUUCACUUUGCUGUGGUGGCUCCGAACCAUGGGGCCACAGUGGCUCCUGCUCUCUCUGGGGAUAGCUUCCAAGGGAGAGGUGCGUUUCGGGACAGGACGCAGGGUCAGAGGAUCCAUCAGCCGGGGUGGGGGGUGGGCGAAGGCGUGACCUGUGGUGCCCGCCCCCGAGUGCUUGGUCCCAGCUCCCUGCCCCCAGGCCGUCCUGGGCUCCUCCCAUCACCCCAGCCUCUUCCCUCCCUUAAGGGGUCACAAUCGUGGAUGUGAGCCCUUGGGUUGGAGAAUGCUUAGCAGAGAGGGAAUUCCAGUUAGUCCUAACCCUGUUUCCGGACAGGGAAACGGAGCCCACAGAGGGCUGUGGGCCCCCUGCAGCCUCAGGACCGUGGCAGGGAUGGGCCCACGUCCAUGUCUUCAGACGCCUGUCCUCUCCUGCCCCCUUCCUUAUCCUGAGGCUUCCUCGAUUUCCACAGUGAGGAGUGACAUUUCCAAUUAUAAUACAGAAUCAGACUGUGGGAUGCCGGCUAGUCUAUUUUCUUCAUUAAUCUUUUCUGUAUCUUCUAGUUUUUAAAAUAACCAUGCAGCACUUCUCGGCAUCAGAUUUUCCUCUGAUUCUAAAUGACAUUAAACUUUUUUUUACAUGCAGUUUGGACAUUUUUACUCUCUAAGCAAAGCUUCUGAGUUCUUUGCUUCCAUGUGGCCCCCGAGCAAAUGUUUCUCUGGCACCCGACAGGAAAAAGGGAAGACAGGAUGCUUUCUCCAGCUCCUCCAGCUCCUGGCGAGCUUGGCCAGGAGGAUGCGGCUGUUGCCCCGCCCCCGCUGUGAGGGAGAAAGGCUGGGCCCAUGAGGCUCUGGGAUGUCUCGGGGCUGCUGUGCUUUAUGAUGCUCUGAACCGAGGCCUUGACUUUUUCCUUUCUCCAAGGGUCAUGCAAAAAUUAAGUCAAAGUGAAAGAGGCGAUAUUUAAAGUCCCCAGUUACGGAGACAAAUCUCUCCGAGCCUGAGGAGGGGACGCCCCCUCCAAGGCCAGCCCCCCCCACCCCGACUCAGGACAGGAGGAGGGCACAGAGGGGUGGAGCUCUCUCUUAGUUUUCACAACAGACGUCCCCAAUGAGGUGCCAGGAAGGCAGGAGGGAAACCAGCCACGUCACCAGGGCGGUCUGGGUGGACAGAGGAUGAGGCUGGCGGCUCCCUGGGGCACUAGCGUGGACCACGCUGGGGAUGCUCUGUGGACACUCUCCCCUCGCCCCAAGAGGUCCGUCCCCCACCCAGCUCAGCCACCCUAAGUUGCAGAAUUGCCAGACACUGGCAUCUCUGGCCCUGCAGGGUGGUUUUGGGGUGGGGAGGCCAACGGGAACCCCACACCCCACAGCUGCCUGCUCUGGAGAACCCCUCAGCUCCCCCGGAAAGCAGCCCGUCUCGCUGUGAGGGGUACCAGGUGCAGGUCCUCCAGCGGCUUCCCCUCCGAGCCUCAGUAAGGGAGGGUGGGGCGGCAAGAGGACCCCCGACCCAUGGCCCACGCUCUCCCCACGAGGCCUGGUGCCUGCACUGCCCUCCACGGCCCGCAGAGGGCACCCGCCAGCCACACUGAGGCCUUUCCUGGGGGACGACGCUAAGGGCCAAGGCGUCUGCUGGACACUUCCAAAUCCCAGA